RNAcentral lists this long non-coding RNA (383 nucleotides) under Carica papaya (papaya). Its description in RNAcentral is "long non-coding RNA (CPAP_LNC013683)". Lineage: Eukaryota; Viridiplantae; Streptophyta; Magnoliopsida; Brassicales; Caricaceae. The record is from RNAcentral.
CUCCAGUGCGGCGGCGAGUGGCGGCGGCCGGCUCCUCUGGUGACUGGUUCUUUUUCUCCGGUGAGGGUACUAGUGACUAGGGUUUAGGGUCAGGUGUGGGUGAGGUUAUUUAUAACCUUUCCCUUUUAAUCUCAGCCGUCCUUCACAAUUUAAUAUGGGCCGUCUGAUCGCGAUUAAAAUGGGAAUAAAUCUGGACCGUCCAUCACGAUGUGAUCUGGGCUGUCCGUGCGUGAUUCAAUCUGGAUCGUCCGCACGCGUGAGAUCUGGACUGUUCGAUCGCGUGCACACGGAUCGCCCACGUGGCUCCGUCCCGCGUGGCCUCCUGCGUCAGCUUCCUUGUCACGCGGCGUGUUCUGGUUGGUCGGGGCUGCUGACUGGGCUGC